UAGAAACUAUUGUGAGAAAAUUAAUUGAAUGCCUAAAAAAUUAAACUAACAAAGGAAAUAAAUUGCUGAAGAAAAAUAUGGAAUGCUGAAAAAAAUAUAAUGCUGUAAAAAUAAUGGCAACAGAAACAAGGUUGCUGAAAAAGAAAAAAAUGCUAAAAGCUAGAAAGCUGAAAACUAAAUUGCAGAGCGUAAAAAAAUGUAAAAGUAGGCCGUCCCCAAUUUUUCCCAUU
Molecule: long non-coding RNA, 230 nt
Filed under: Lathyrus oleraceus (garden pea)
Lineage: Eukaryota; Viridiplantae; Streptophyta; Magnoliopsida; Fabales; Fabaceae
Description: Pisum sativum (pea) long non-coding RNA (PSAT_LNC003182)
Source: RNAcentral